UAGGGAAUAUUGGGCAAUGGGCGAAAGCCUGACCCAGCAACACCGCGUGAAUGAUGAAGGUCUUCGGAUUGUAAAGUUCUGUGAUGGGGGACGAAGAAAGUGACGGUACCCCAAGAGCAAGCCACGGCUAACUACGUGCCAGCAGCCGCGGUAAUACGUAGGUGGCAAGCGUUGUCCGGAAUGACUGGGCGUAAAGGGUACGUAGGUGGCUAUUCAAGUUAAUGGUGAAAUUCCGGGGCUUAACUCCGGCGCUACCAUUAAGACUGUUUAGCUUGAGUGCAGGAGGGGUAAGUGGAAUUCCUAGUGUAGCGGUGGAAUGCGUAGAUAUUAGGAGGAACACCAGUGGCGAAGGCGGCUUGCUGGACGACAACUGACGCUGAGGCGCGAAAGCGUGGGGAGCAAACAGGAUUAGAUACCCUGGUAGU
This 425-nucleotide ribosomal RNA is filed under the name uncultured bacterium. Its description in RNAcentral is "bacterial SSU rRNA". It matches the Rfam family "Bacterial small subunit ribosomal RNA", at positions 355 to 794 of the family's 1533-position model. The record is from RNAcentral.